RNAcentral lists this transfer RNA (74 nucleotides) under Actinomycetota bacterium. RNAcentral describes it as "Actinobacteria bacterium (freshwater metagenome) tRNA-Thr". It matches the Rfam family "tRNA". From Rfam's summary of the family: Transfer RNA (tRNA) molecules are approximately 80 nucleotides in length. Their secondary structure includes four short double-helical elements and three loops (D, anti-codon, and T loops). Lineage: Bacteria; Bacillati; Actinomycetota. The record is from RNAcentral.
GCCGGCGUAGCUCAGUUGGCUAGAGCACUCGCCUUGUAAGCGAGAGGUCCUCGGUUCGAGCCCGAGCGCCGGCU